This 329-nucleotide unclassified non-coding RNA is filed under the name soil metagenome. Its description in RNAcentral is "partial contains 5.8S ribosomal RNA, internal transcribed spacer 2, and large subunit ribosomal RNA". The stretch from base 1 to 120 matches the Rfam family "5.8S ribosomal RNA", at positions 35 to 154 of the family's 154-position model. The record is from RNAcentral.
GAUGAAGAACGUAGCGAAAUGCGAUAAGUAAUGUGAAUUGCAGAAUUCAGUGAAUCAUCGAAUCUUUGAACGCACAUUGCGCCCCCUGGUAUUCCGGGGGGCAUGCCUGUCCGAGCGUCAUUACAACCCUCAAGCUCAGCUUGGUGUUGGGCCCCGCCGCCCCGGCGGGCCCUAAAGUCAGUGGCGGUGCCGUCCGGCUCCGAGCGUAGUAAUUCUUCUCGCUCUGGAGGUCCGGUCGUGUGCUCGCCAGCAACCCCCAAUUUUUUUCAGGUUGACCUCGGAUCAGGUAGGGAUACCCGCUGAACUUAAGCAUAUCAAUAAGCAGAGGA